This 440-nucleotide ribosomal RNA is filed under the name uncultured bacterium. Its description in RNAcentral is "bacterial SSU rRNA". It matches the Rfam family "Bacterial small subunit ribosomal RNA", at positions 954 to 1392 of the family's 1533-position model. The record is from RNAcentral.
GCUAAACGCGAAGAACCUUACCAGGUCUUGACAUCCCUCUGAAUCCGGUAGAGAUAUCGGCGGCCUUCGGGACAGAGGAGACAGGUGGUGCAUGGUUGUCGUCAGCUCGUGUCGUGAGAUGUUGGGUUAAGUCCCGCAACGAGCGCAACCCUUGAACUUAGUUGCCAGCGAGUGAGGUCGGGCACUCUAGGUUGACUGCCGGUGACAAACCGGAGGAAGGCGGGGAUGACGUCAAAUCAUCAUGCCCCUUAUGACCUGGGCUACACACGUACUACAAUGGCCGGUACAACGGGCUGCGAAACCGCGAGGUGGAGCCAAUCCCAACAAAGCCGGUCUCAGUUCGGAUUGCAGGCUGCAACUCGCCUGCAUGAAGUCGGAAUUGCUAGUAAUCGCGGAUCAGCAUGCCGCGGUGAAUACGUUCCCGGGUCUUGUACACACCG